AUUGAACGCUGGCGGCAGGCCUAACACAUGCAAGUCGAACGGUAACAGGAAGAAGCUUGCUUCUUUGCUGACGAGUGGCGGACGGGUGGGGAAUGUCUGGGAAACUGCCUGAGGGAGGGGGAUAACUACUGGAAACGGUAGCGAAUACCGCAUAACGUCGCAAGACCAAAGAGGGGGACCUUCGGGCGUCUUGCCAUCGCUUGUGCCCGGCUGGGAUGAGCGAGUAGGUGGGGUAACGCCUCACCUAGGCGGCGAUCCCUAGCUGGUCUGAGAGGAUGACCAGCCACACUGGAACUGAGACACGGUCCAGACUCCUACGGGAGGCAGCAGUGGGGAAUAUUGCACAAUGGGCGCAAGCCUGAUGCAGCCAUGCCGCGUGUAUGAAGAAGGCCUUCGGGUUGUAAAGUACUUUCAGCGGGGAGGAAGGGAGUAAAGUUAAUACCUUUGCUCAUUGACGUUACCCGCAGAAGAAGCACCGGCUAACUACGUG
Molecule: ribosomal RNA, 490 nt
Filed under: uncultured bacterium
Lineage: Bacteria
Description: partial 16S ribosomal RNA
Rfam family: Bacterial small subunit ribosomal RNA
Source: RNAcentral